UCACUGGUGGUCUUGUGGUUAGGACUUAGUGCUUUUACCGCUGUGGCCUGGGUUCAAUUCCUUGUCAGGGAG
Molecule: transfer RNA, 72 nt
Filed under: Danio rerio (zebrafish)
Lineage: Eukaryota; Metazoa; Chordata; Actinopteri; Cypriniformes; Danionidae
Rfam family: tRNA
About the family: Transfer RNA (tRNA) molecules are approximately 80 nucleotides in length. Their secondary structure includes four short double-helical elements and three loops (D, anti-codon, and T loops).
Source: Rfam by way of RNAcentral